Molecule: ribosomal RNA, 303 nt
Filed under: uncultured bacterium
Lineage: Bacteria
Description: partial 16S ribosomal RNA
Rfam family: Bacterial small subunit ribosomal RNA
Source: RNAcentral
AGCAGCCGCCACGGUAAUACGAGGGGGGCAAGCGUUAAUCGGAAUUACUGGGCGUAAAGCGCACGCAGGCGGUUUGUUAAGUCAGAUGUGAAAUCCCCGAGCUUAACUUGGGAACUGCAUUUGAAACUGGCAAGCUAGAGUCUUGUAGAGGGGGGUAGAAUUCCAGGUGUAGCGGUGAAAUGCGUAGAGAUCUGGAGGAAUACCGGUGGCGAAGGCGGCCCCCUGGACAAAGACUGACGCUCAGGUGCGAAAGCGUGGGGAGCAAACAGGAUUAGAUACCCCAGUAGUCCCUGUCUCUUAUAC